AGGAACUGGAGAGAUGGCUCAGGGGU
This 26-nucleotide non-coding RNA is filed under the name Cricetulus griseus (Chinese hamster). The record is from RNAcentral. Lineage: Eukaryota; Metazoa; Chordata; Mammalia; Rodentia; Cricetidae.